RNAcentral lists this transfer RNA (72 nucleotides) under Mesocricetus auratus (golden hamster). It matches the Rfam family "tRNA". From Rfam's summary of the family: Transfer RNA (tRNA) molecules are approximately 80 nucleotides in length. The record is from Rfam by way of RNAcentral. Lineage: Eukaryota; Metazoa; Chordata; Mammalia; Rodentia; Cricetidae.
GUAGAUGUGGCUCAGUUGGUAGAGUGCUUGCCUUGCAUGCAUGGAGCCCGGGGUUCAAUCCCCAGUGUUGCA